This 274-nucleotide ribosomal RNA is filed under the name uncultured bacterium. RNAcentral's name for it is "partial 16S ribosomal RNA". It matches the Rfam family "Bacterial small subunit ribosomal RNA", at positions 523 to 796 of the family's 1533-position model. The record is from RNAcentral.
CUACGGAGGGUGCAAGCGUUACUCGGAAUCACUGGGCGUAAAGCGCGCGCAGGCGGGCUGAUAAGUUGGAUGUGAAAGCCUACGGCUCAACCGUAGAACUGCAUCCAAAACUGUCAGUCUAGAGUCUGGGAGGGGAAGAUGGAAUUAGUUGUGUAGGGGUAAAAUCCGUAGAGAUAACUAGGAAUACCAAAAGCGAAGGCGAUCUUCUGGAACAGUACUGACGCUGAGGCGCGAAAGCGUGGGGAGCAAACAGGAUUAGAAUCCCCAGUAGUCC